GCAGUUGUGGCGGAAUUGGCAUACGCGCUAGACUAAGGAUCUAGUGUCCCAUAUACGGACUUGAGGGUUCGAGUCCCUCCAACUGCA
RNAcentral lists this transfer RNA (87 nucleotides) under Natranaerovirga hydrolytica. Its description in RNAcentral is "Clostridiales bacterium APP2 tRNA". It matches the Rfam family "tRNA". Rfam says of the family: Transfer RNA (tRNA) molecules are approximately 80 nucleotides in length. Their secondary structure includes four short double-helical elements and three loops (D, anti-codon, and T loops). The record is from Rfam by way of RNAcentral. Lineage: Bacteria; Bacillati; Bacillota; Clostridia; Lachnospirales; Natranaerovirgaceae.